CUUAACACUUUUGUUAUAAGUGUACACAAACAUGGCGGCAUGAAGAACAAAACAUGCACAUGUGCCUGACAAAUUCACGCCGAUAGAGCCUUUGUGGAUUCAAGAAAGCUGUUUGGGGCAGAUUCCACCAAAACCAUUGAUUUCUGGGCUAGCUUCCAGAACAGUUUGAAAGCUAUUGACAGUGAGGAGAAGUGGAGGAGGCUCCAAGAGCGACAGGAGAAACGGAUUGCAGAAGAAGAAUAAUAAUAAUAUAAUAUUUAUUAAGAUUUAUUAGGAAACUUUAUUAUCCCCCGCGAAACGCGUCUGUGCAUCCGUGCGUCCGUCAGUGUGUUCGUCCGAGAUUCUUUUCCGGGCUAUAACUCCAUAACCGUUCAACACAGCUCCUUGAAACUUUCUGUAUAUAUCAGACUAGUGCCCUAGUUGUGCCUUUUGCUAUCGCAACCCUUCCAUUUUCGGUAUUUUUCUGUCACCAUGGAGACUUAAUCAAAAAUACAAAAUUACUUUUUCCUUAAUAACUCUUACUUUGAGCUUGAUAUAAACAUGUAUUUGGGUUUUCAUACCAACUGCGGGGUGCGGGGGAUAAAGCCAAGCUUUGCGCCUCCUUGUUUAACAAUCCCUUACUAGCUUUUCGAGUGUCUUCACAAUUAUACUAGUUAAACUCACUGGUCUAUAGUUUCCAGGAUCAGACUUUGCUUCCUUUUUAAAGAUUGCCGUAAUAUUCGCGUCUUUCCAUGCUUGCGGUAGCUUUCCAUCUGAUAGAGAUUUGUUAAAUAGAUAGGCCACAGGUUGCUUAUAUUUUUUCGUAAUUUCUUCAACACUCUUGGAUCUCUUGUUCUUUGUUCAACUUCUAAUGUUAGUACUUUGGCUUCUUUAAAAAGGGAUAGACUUUCUGUUAACAUUGGUUUAUCUAGCAUUAUUUUAAAAGCUUUAUUUUGCAGUUUUGUUACUUGGUGAAUUUGUUGUUUCGUUAGACUGUUUCUCCAUACUAUGGCUGCAUAAUCUGCAGUUGGUAAUAUGUAUGAAUUAUAGUUUAUUUUUCUUGCAUUUUUUUGUAAAUAUUUUUCAUUUGUAGAUUUAAUCAUGUUACUAAGAUUCCAUAAAUGUUACGAAGGACCAGGUUAUGCUUAUGCCAUACUGUGCCGUCGGGUGUCCGUCCGUCUGUCAACACAAUUGAUUUCUUCUUCUGAACCACUGAUCAGAAUUUAGGAAUCAUUUGGCAAUAUUGAUAUUAACAACUUCUUCUCUGAACCUAACCAAUGUCUGACAUUGAUAUUUCAGUAGUAGCAUCCCUAUGUGGCUGGGAUUCAAAUUUAUAUAAAUAAUGGGGCAUAACGCAUUAUUUUCAUGUUUGCUCAAAUAAUUUACCUGGUGAGCGAUACAGGCCCUCUGGGCCUUUUGUUCAUUAACAACUGCAUUUCUAAAUAGUUCACGUUUUGAAUGAUAUAGGGGUUUGUUUUGUAAUAUUAAUAAAUAGUUUGAAAUGCCAGAUUUCUUUGACUUAUUUGUAUUUAAAUUCUUUAGUUGAUGAACAGCCAUGGUUAUUUAAGGACGUUCCAUAUUUGAUGAGUAAAGAAAACCUAGAUCUCCAGAUAAAUUCCACAGUGACCUCAAGUCAAUAUUCACUGUACAUUGGUAACUACUCCAUGUGAAAUGGUGGGCUAGAGCUAGAAAAAAUUAUUCAUUCUGUAAAAGUGAUAUCUUAUUCUGGGAGAGAUUGAGCUUAUAUUAAUCAUGCUUGUUGGCCCGGAUGGAAGCACAAGGGGUCUUACUGUGGGAGGAAACUGGGAGUAUCCGGAGGGAAAACCACAAGGCCAGGCAGCUGACCGCAUUCCUUUUCACGUCUGAUUGAGGAAUCAAACUCCGGCCACCUAGUUUAAAGACAGUUGUGCUGCCACUGUGCCAACCAAACACCCGAGUGAUAUAGUCACCAGCUACUACAAAAGACCCCACCAUAAAACGACCCUGGCUGUUCACAGGGCGAUUAUCACAGCAAUCAAAAUAAAACAAACAUAUUCAAGAGUAAGACAUUGUAUGCCACUGAUUUUCAGUGCUGUUGUGUCCUGGAUAUCAUGCGAGGAAGGGGCCUCCUGCAUGUUGUUCGGUGAGGUAGUGACCAACUACUACAAACUUAGAUGCCUACUAUUUUUCAGAUACCAACCAAACUGGUAUAAACUGCUACCAUAUAAGAGGUUUGCAAACAAAUUGACAUCAUUGAUUAAAUGAAGCUGAAUUGAUAUUUUUAUUUUCUGAAAACUAAUUUGUUGUCUUUAUGUUUUUGGAUAGCUUCAACAUCCAGCUCCUAGAGCGACACCAGCUGUAAGAACUCCUGUCAGCUUCAAGUCUUUAGAAGGGAAAUUUCCACAAAGGUGAACAUCUGGAGAAGCUGAAAGACAGAUCUGCAACAUGGUGAAACUGUUUUCUGCUUUCGGCAAGUUAUAGGACUAGCAUUAUUAACAGACAGUCAGUCGCAGAAGGCAAGGCUCGACAGUUUUGAAACCCAUGUCAACAGUGUUAAGCUUCAAGGAAAAAGAUUCAAGGAACUGUAUAUCAUAUGAUUCUGCAUAAAUAUCUCCAAGCAGCAAAAGUGAUUUCUGGAACUAGAAGUAAUGAUGUUGGAGAGGCAAACAAUAUGAAUAAGACAACAGUAUCUCGGUCUUGUUGAAAAAGUGAUGUUUUUCUCUAUACGAGUGAUUAUGCCAAUAAUGCAAAGGCCAAUGACAUGGAUAGUGGUUUUUAAUGUUUAUAUACAUGUGUAGUGAUCUGUAUUACCACAACAUAAACUGACAUUAUAAAUUGAAAAUUAUUGGAGAAGUCUUAUUUACAGUGUAAUUUGUUUUGUAUGGAUUUACUUUACAUGAGCAUGUAUUAAAUGAAUUAUAUUUUUCAUUCUAAAUGACAAA
This is a long non-coding RNA of Pecten maximus, 2900 nucleotides long. RefSeq lists it as uncharacterized. The transcript is spliced from 3 exons. The record is from RefSeq and is a predicted model, not a curated record. Lineage: Eukaryota; Metazoa; Mollusca; Bivalvia; Pectinida; Pectinidae.